AGAGUAGCAUUUGGUGCUUGAGUUAAAAUAGCACUUUUGCCACUAAAUGUCUUAAUAUUUAGGCCAUCCUUAUCUAGCAUCUUCUCCAUUAGACCAAAGAAGAAAUCAUAAACCCUCAUUUUUCUCCUUAAGAGCCGAACCCCUACCCUUCCCCAUACUCCAUCAAUUUUCAAUCAAAUUCAUCAAGUUUGGAGGCAAAUCAUCAAAAAUUGAAGGGAGAUAAAGACCCGGCGAGGCAACUACCGACGGGACCUGGAACUUGAGGAGCGUGACAUAGCGUUAUCCGGUUUGGAAACUAGGAAUAGCAAGUGUGUUUUAUUUCAGGUGAUAGUAUUUUGAAGGCAAGGACUUCCAUUCUUGUUCCGGAAGUCUGCAAUAUUUUAAGUAUAUGUAUUGAAGUAUGCUUCAAAUCCUAGCGCUGCAGUAGUCAGUAGAUGUCAGUAUAAAAAUAAUAUUUUGUGUCAAACGAUAUUUUGCUAUUAACUCUGAGAUGAUAAAUGUAUGUUCAUAGUUUAUAUAAAUCACGCUUUUUAUUCGUGUUAUUUCUUUACCAAUUAUCCAUGAA
Molecule: long non-coding RNA, 565 nt
Organism: Mercurialis annua (annual mercury)
Lineage: Eukaryota; Viridiplantae; Streptophyta; Magnoliopsida; Malpighiales; Euphorbiaceae
Exons: 3
Source: RefSeq, a predicted model, not a curated record